CAGUCUGCUACAAUGGAGACAGAAUCAUCUCAGCUUUUUACAUCACCAGUGACUUCAUAUGGCGAUGCAAAAUACAUUGUUUUUGAGCAAUGCCUCUUCAGCCUGUUCGAGAUCUGCCCUGUGUGCACAAGAACCUGUACAUUCCUGCCACGCAGAAGAGGGUCCUUCCUAGCGAUCGACCAACUAUGCCCUCACUGCAAGUUCUUCCGACAGUGGAAGAGUCAGCCAGUUAUUGGGAGCACCCCUGUGGGCAACCUUCAGCUGUCUGCUGCCAUUUACUUUUGUGGAGCUUCAUUUUCAAAGAUGAAAAAGAUAUUUGAUGCAAUGCAGCUGAGAACACACACGUAUGAUGCCUUCAGAAGACAUUGUGUACAGAAAUGGGUUUUGUUUAGUGAAAGUGUGAGAUCAGGCCUAAUUGCCAGCCAUCAAAAUGCAAAUCAUUACAGUUUUAGGCUGCUCUAACUGAAAGGCACUUGUAACAACACCGGUUAGAGUACAGCUUUGGCACAGCCUACAGGUUUAGCCAAUGCUUUUGCUGUGAGUUAAUAGUAGUAUUUUGCUUGGUGUGUGCUUACAAAAGUGACAAGUGACAAUUGUUACAACAUUUCUGCUGUUUCAUUUAGGUUGUACCUUGCAGCUAUGCAUUUCAAUGAGAAUGCUCAGCGCCUACAACGGAAGACAGCCAAGGGGAAACUAAUGUACAGGCUUGUGUUUCCAAAGGCCAAAAGGGGAGGUUACACGGUCAAAAAAGUGAAGACAGAGCCAACGAUUUGCUAUGUCUUUAACCUGAUAAGACUGGUGUUCGAAGAGAUCGUCCAUGACUCCCUUCGUUAUGUGGAUGCCGUCCAGCAGAUUCCUGUGCCCCAAGACUUGUGUGCUCAGCUUCCCAGACCUUCCAGGGAGGAUGCUGUCGCUGAGCAUGUGUCACGGUUCAGUCGAGGGGGGGUCUGAACCCGACAUACUGCCCUGAUGUUUCCGGAAACUCCCUCCGUAUGCGCAGCACCACACAAGAGGGGAUCACAACACGGACACUUCGCCCAAGGAAACCCCAGCACCAGCUCACGAAAGAUCUGUAGGCCAAGUGUCUGCAUUGCCUUCAGAGAAAUCAGAGUGGAAAGGCACACUUUUUUACUAUUUAUUUUUUGAAUAUUUUAUAUUUUUGAGUAUAGCACUGUAUGAUUGUGUUGAAACAAAAUAAAGUUUGUCAUUUUAC
This is a long non-coding RNA of Alosa sapidissima (American shad), 1213 nucleotides long. RefSeq lists it as uncharacterized. The record is from RefSeq and is a predicted model, not a curated record. NCBI's taxonomy places the organism in Eukaryota, Metazoa, Chordata, Actinopteri, Clupeiformes, Clupeidae. The transcript has 4 exons.